UAGGGAAUCUUCGGCAAUGGACGAAAGUCUGACCGAGCAACGCCGCGUGAGUGAAGAAGGUUUUCGGAUCGUAAAACUCUGUUGGUAGAGAAGAACGUUGGUGAGAGUGGAAAGCUCAUCAAGUGACGGUAACUACCCAGAAAGGGACGGCUAACUACGUGCCAGCAGCCGCGGUAAUACGUAGGUCCCGAGCGUUGUCCGGAUUUAUUGGGCGUAAAGCGAGCGCAGGUGGUUUAUUAAGUCUGGUGUAAAAGGCAGUGGCUCAACCAUUGUAUGCAUUGGAAACUUGUAGACUUGAGUGCAGGAGAGUAGAGUGGAAUUCCAUGUGUAGCGGUGAAAUGCGUAGAUAUAUGGAGGAACACCGGUGGCGAAAGCGGCUCUCUGGCCUGUAACUGACACUGAGGCUCGAAAGCGUGGGGAGCAAACA
RNAcentral lists this ribosomal RNA (427 nucleotides) under uncultured bacterium. Its description in RNAcentral is "partial 16S ribosomal RNA". It matches the Rfam family "Bacterial small subunit ribosomal RNA", at positions 355 to 774 of the family's 1533-position model. The record is from RNAcentral.